This 138-nucleotide small nuclear RNA is filed under the name Arabidopsis thaliana (thale cress). RNAcentral's name for it is "ATSL191840". The record is from RNAcentral. Lineage: Eukaryota; Viridiplantae; Streptophyta; Magnoliopsida; Brassicales; Brassicaceae.
UUCAGACUAGGUUAAAUGUUGGGCCUCACGAUUAAGUAAGGGCCCUCCAAAAAUAGGCGUAAGCCACUUGGCGUGGAGAGCACACGGUAUUCUUUAGUAAAAGGCGAAAGAAUAGUUCGCUUUGUGCUCACCACAUAG